Molecule: ribosomal RNA, 468 nt
Filed under: uncultured bacterium
Lineage: Bacteria
Description: bacterial SSU rRNA
Rfam family: Bacterial small subunit ribosomal RNA
Source: RNAcentral
GAUGAACGCUGGCGGCGUGCUUAAUACAUGCAAGUCGAACGGAAUGUAGCAAUACAUUUAGUGGCGAACGGGUGAGUAACACGUUGGUGACCUGCCCCGAAGUGUGGGAUAACAGUCCGAAAGGAUUGCUAAUACCUCAUGUGGUUGCCGGGUUUAGAAGCUGGCAACUAAAGCAGUAAUGCGCUUCGGGAGGGACCUGCGUCCCAUCAGCUAGUUGGUGAGGUAAGGCUCACCAAGGCUACGACGGGUAAGGGACCUGAGAGGGUGGUCCCUCACAAUGGCACUGAAACACGGGCCAUACACCUACGGGUGGCAGCAGUAGGGAAUAUUGGGCAAUGGGCGAAAGCCUGACCCAGCAACGCCGCGUGUGCGAUGAAGGCCCUCGGGUCGUAAAGCACUUUCUGAGGAAUGAGAAUGGACAGUACCUCAGGAAUAAGUCUCGGCUAACUACGUGCCAGCCGCCGCGGU